UGAACGCUGGCGGCGUGCUUAACACAUGCAAGUCGAACGGUAACAGCAGAGCUUGCUCUGGCUGACGAGUGGCGCACGGGUGAGUAAUAUAUAGUUAAUGUGCCUCGAAGACCGGGAUAGCCAUUGGAAACGAUGAUUAAUACUGGAUAUACCUUUCUUUCAUAAGUUAGAAAGGGAAACGUUUUUUCGCUUCGAGAUCAGACUAUAUCCCAUCAGCUUGUUGGUGAGGUAAGAGCUCACCAAGGCAAUGACGGGUAGCGGGUUUGAGAGGAUGAUCCGCCACACUGGUACUGAGACACGGACCAGACUCCUACGGGAGGCAGCAGUGAGGAAUAUUGCACAAUGGGGGAAACCCUGAUGCAGCAACGCCGCGUGGAGGAUGACGCAUUUCGGUGUGUAAACUCCUUUUAUAUGUCAAGAAAAUGACGGUAGCAUAUGAAUAAGCACCGGCUAACUCC
Molecule: ribosomal RNA, 458 nt
Filed under: uncultured bacterium
Lineage: Bacteria
Description: bacterial SSU rRNA
Rfam family: Bacterial small subunit ribosomal RNA
Source: RNAcentral